RNAcentral lists this ribosomal RNA (843 nucleotides) under uncultured bacterium. Its description in RNAcentral is "bacterial SSU rRNA". It matches the Rfam family "Bacterial small subunit ribosomal RNA", at positions 8 to 848 of the family's 1533-position model. The record is from RNAcentral.
AGAGUUUGAUGGUGGCUCAGGAUGAACGCUAGCUACAGGCUUAACACAUGCAAGUCGAGGGGCAGCAUGACCUAGCAAUAGGUUGAUGGCGACCGGCGCACGGGUGAGUAACACGUAUCCAACCUACCGGUUAUUCCGGGAUAGCCUUUCGAAAGAAAGAUUAAUACCGGAUAGUAUAACGAGAAGGCAUCUUUUUGUUAUUAAAGAAUUUCGAUAACCGAUGGGGAUGCGUUCCAUUAGUUUGUUGGCGGGGUAACGGCCCACCAAGACAUCGAUGGAUAGGGGUUCUGAGAGGAAGGUCCCCCACAUUGGAACUGAGACACGGUCCAAACUCCUACGGGAGGCAGCAGUGAGGAAUAUUGGUCAAUGGACGAGAGUCUGAACCAGCCAAGUAGCGUGAAGGAUGACUGCCCUAUGGGUUGUAAACUUCUUUUAUAUGGGAAUAAAGUGAGCCACGUGUGGCUUUUUGUAUGUACCAUACGAAUAAGGAUCGGCUAACUCCGUGCCAGCAGCCGCGGUAAUACGGAGGAUCCGAGCGUUAUCCGGAUUUAUUGGGUUUAAAGGGAGCGUAGGCGGACUAUUAAGUCAGCUGUGAAAGUUUGCGGCUCAACCGUAAAAUUGCAGUUGAUACUGGUCGUCUUGAGUGCAGUAGAGGUAGGCGGAAUUCGUGGUGUAGCGGUGAAAUGCUUAGAUAUCACGAAGAACUCCGAUUGCGAAGGCAGCUUACUGGACUGUAACUGACGCUGAUGCUCGAAAGUGUGGGUAUCAAACAGGAUUAGAUACCCUGGUAGUCCACACAGUAAACGAUGAAUACUCGCUGUUUGCGAUAUACAGCAAGCGGCC